GACGAACGCUGGCGGCGUGCUUAACACAUGCAAGUCGAACGGAAAGGCCCUGCUUUUGUGGGGUGCUCGAGUGGCGAACGGGUGAGUAACACGUGAGUAACCUGCCCUUGACUUUGGGAUAACUUCAGGAAACUGGGGCUAAUACCGGAUAGGAGCUCCUGAUGCAUGGUGGGGGUUGGAAAGUUUCGGCGGUUGGGGAUGGACUCGCGGCUUAUCAGCUUGUUGGUGGGGUAGUGGCUUACCAAGGCUUUGACUGGUAGCCGGCCUGUGAGGGGGACCGGCCACAUUGGUACUGAGAUAGGGCCCAGACUCCUACGGGAGGCAGCAGUGGGGAAUAUUGCACAAUGGGCGGAAGCCUGAUGCAGCAACGCCGCGUGCGGGAUGACGGCCUUCGGGUUGUAAACCGCUUUCGCCUGUGACGAAGCGUGAGUGACGGUAAUGGGUAAAGAAGCACCGGCUAACUACGUG
RNAcentral lists this ribosomal RNA (468 nucleotides) under uncultured bacterium. RNAcentral describes it as "partial 16S ribosomal RNA". It matches the Rfam family "Bacterial small subunit ribosomal RNA", at positions 28 to 507 of the family's 1533-position model. The record is from RNAcentral.